GACGAACGCUGGCGGCGUGCCUAAUACAUGCAAGUCGAGCGAAGAGUUUCUGGUCUUUGCCCUAGGAAAACUUAGCGGCGAGCGGGAGAGUAACACGUAAAGAACCUGUCUCAUAGUCUGGGAACACUGUGGGAAACGAUAGCUAAUACGGUAUUACAGUAAUUCUCGCAGGUGAGUUGUUUAAGAGUUUGUUAUGGUAACACAUUGAUAUGUCUUCGCGGUGCAUUAGCUAGUUGGUGGGGUAAGGGCACACCAAGGCAACGAUGCAUAGCCGACCUGAGAGGGUGAUCGGCCACACUGGGACUGAGACACGGCCCAGACUCCUACGGGAGGCAGCAGUAGGGAAUCUUCCGCAAUGGGCGAAAGCCUGACGGAGCAACGCCGCGUGAGUGAAGAAGGAUUUCGGUUCGUAAAGCUCUGUUGUUAGGGAAGAAUGGAUAUGUAGUAACUAUAGCUGUAAGUGACGGUACCUAACCAGAAAGCCACGGCUAACUACGUG
RNAcentral lists this ribosomal RNA (499 nucleotides) under uncultured bacterium. RNAcentral's name for it is "partial 16S ribosomal RNA". It matches the Rfam family "Bacterial small subunit ribosomal RNA", at positions 28 to 507 of the family's 1533-position model. The record is from RNAcentral.